RNAcentral lists this ribosomal RNA (252 nucleotides) under uncultured bacterium. Its description in RNAcentral is "partial 16S ribosomal RNA". It matches the Rfam family "Bacterial small subunit ribosomal RNA", at positions 524 to 775 of the family's 1533-position model. The record is from RNAcentral.
UACGUAGGGUGCGAGCGUUAAUCGGAAUUACUGGGCGUAAAGCGUGCGCAGGCGGUUUGUUAAGACAGGUGUGAAAUCCCCGGGCUCAACCUGGGAAUGGCGCUUGUAACUGGCAGGCUAGAGUGUGUCAGAGGGAGGUAGAAUUCCACGUGUAGCAGUGAAAUGCGUAGAGAUGUGGAGGAAUACCGAUGGCGAAGGCAGCCUCCUGGGAUAACACUGACGCUCAUGCACGAAAGCGUGGGGAGCAAACAG